This 608-nucleotide ribosomal RNA is filed under the name Rigidoporus juniperinus. RNAcentral's name for it is "Rigidoporus sp. YG-2020a partial large subunit ribosomal RNA". It matches the Rfam family "Eukaryotic large subunit ribosomal RNA", at positions 66 to 655 of the family's 3401-position model. Lineage: Eukaryota; Fungi; Basidiomycota; Agaricomycetes; Polyporales; Meripilaceae. The record is from RNAcentral.
UAACAAGGAUUCCCCUAGUAACUGCGAGUGAAGCGGGAUGAGCUCAAAUUUAAAAUCUGACGGUUUCGCCGUCCGAGUUGUAAUCUGGAGAAGCGUUUUCCGCGUCGGACCGUGUACAAGUCCCUUGGAACGGGGCGUCAUAGAGGGUGAGAAUCCCGUCCAUGACACGGACUACCUAUGCUUUGUGAUACGCUCUCGAAGAGUCGAGUUGUUUGGGAAUGCAGCUCAAAAUGGGUGGUAAAUUCCAUCUAAAGCUAAAUAUUGGCGAGAGACCGAUAGCGAACAAGUACCGUGAGGGAAAGAUGAAAAGCACUUUGGAAAGAGAGUUAAACAGUACGUGAAAUUGUUGAAAGGGAAACGCUUGGAGUCAGUCGCGUCUGUCGAGACUCAGCCUCGCCUUCGGGCUUGGUGUACUUCUCGGUCGACGGGCCAACAUCGAUUUUGGGUGGCGGAUAAAGGUCUGGGGAAGGUGGCACCUUCGGGUGUGUUAUAGCCCCUCUCCGCAUACGUCGUCUGGGAUCGAGGACCGCAGCGCGCCCUUGUGGCCGGGGCUUUGCCCACGUACCGCGCUUAGGAUGUUGGCGUAAUGGCUUUAAGCGACCCGUCUU